RNAcentral lists this ribosomal RNA (253 nucleotides) under uncultured bacterium. RNAcentral's name for it is "partial 16S ribosomal RNA". It matches the Rfam family "Bacterial small subunit ribosomal RNA", at positions 524 to 776 of the family's 1533-position model. The record is from RNAcentral.
UACAGAGGUCUCAAGCGUUGUCCGGAAUUAUUGGGCGUAAAGCGCGCGCAGGUGGUUUCUUAAGUCUGAUGUGAAAGCCCACGGCUCAACCGUGGAGGGUCAUUGGAAACUGGGGAACUUGAGUGCAGAAGAGGAAAGUGGAAUUCCAAGUGUAGCGGUGAAAUGCGUAGAGAUUUGGAGGAACACCAGUGGCGAAGGCGACUUUCUGGUCUGUAACUGACACUGAGGCGCGAAAGCGUGGGGAGCGAACAGG